Molecule: long non-coding RNA, 1019 nt
Organism: Lemur catta (Ring-tailed lemur)
Lineage: Eukaryota; Metazoa; Chordata; Mammalia; Primates; Lemuridae
Exons: 3
Source: RefSeq, a predicted model, not a curated record
AUCUGCAUAUAUUUGAGAUAUAUGAGAUUAGUCAAAUUUGAAUCUCUUCAUAUUUUUUGAAUGUUCAAUUUAGUGUGUAACAUAUUUGAAUAAUUACUAAAGUUAAUAUAUUUUUUCUUUUAGAUGAGAAUUUUAAUGACAGAAUUACUGAUAACCCUUUUUGUAUUAAGGACAGUGGCAUAUUAACACGUCUAUUAAAGAAAACAUGAAAAGUGCCUGAAAUGUACUAUUGAACAACCAGGAGCAGUUAAAACUCAUAUAUGUUACAGGUUUCCUUUGGAUGCCAAGAGCAAAGGUUGCAAUGGAGGUGAAAUAGUGGCUUGCAUUUGAGGAGACUGGAAUUUUGGCCUACUUUUAGAUUGCUGGUCUUCAAACUCCUGACUGAAUCCUUCAGGGAGUGCAUCUUAAAAUAACAGAAACUGUGUUGAAAAUAAACAUGCAUAUGAUACAUAAAAAAAAAACCAAACACUUGUUAAGCAUAUACGUAAACCAGCCUAGUCUUAAAGCACCUAAUUUUCUUCUAUUCCCUCAUCUCCCAAGAAUAGAAAUCCUAUGAUGUUCCUGGUUUUAUCUGUUAAAUUAGAAGUGAGUACACUCAUCGAUGAUAGCUAGCCCACUUGUAUUUGACCACUGAUUUCACACUCAGUAUGUUAAGCUCCUAAAUUUUCAUAAAAGGAUCUUAACCCUUCCCACUCUUUAGUUGUCCAUCAUAGUAUGUGGCAGUAUCCUUCAUCAGUGACACAAGCUAUCUGCACUCCAGAUUCCUGCCAAAGAUUGCAACCAUGAGGCCCUGCUUACUGAAAUAUUUAUCCAAGAAUAGCCCUAAUUUCUAAACAAAAAACCAGGAGACACAGCCUAAUAUGUUACUGAUAGGCAAACUUUGAGAAUCUGUUGUACGAAGUACAUUGUAAAAUGAAAGCAACACACACAAAAAUUUCCUUCACAGACCACAAUCUUAAAGGAGAAUAUACUGAAAAGAACAGAAAAAGUCUGCUCAGGCUGCCAUAACAAAGUACCAC